Molecule: ribosomal RNA, 315 nt
Filed under: uncultured eukaryote
Lineage: Eukaryota
Description: partial 18S ribosomal RNA
Rfam family: Eukaryotic small subunit ribosomal RNA
Source: RNAcentral
CCCUUAGAUGUUCUGGGCUGCACGCGCGCUACACUGACGCACGCAACAGGUGCCUGCUCCGAGAGGACUGGGUAAUCAUUUGAGUGUGCGUCGUGAUGGGGAUAGAAUAUUGUAAUUAUUACUCUUCAACGAGGAAUUCCUAGUAAGCGCCAGUCAGCAGCUUGCGCUGAUUACGUCCCUGCCCUUUGUACACACCGCCCGUCGCUCCUACCGAUGGGUGAUCCGGUGAAUGAUUCGGACUUCAGCGGCUUCCCUGGGGUGCGCCGGAGAAAGUUUUGUGAACCUUAUCACUUGGAGGAAGGAGAAGUCGUAACA